RNAcentral lists this ribosomal RNA (118 nucleotides) under Danio rerio (zebrafish). Lineage: Eukaryota; Metazoa; Chordata; Actinopteri; Cypriniformes; Danionidae. The record is from RNAcentral.
UGUGAAAGCACCCUAAGACCUUUGUGAUCUUAUUCUAAACAACUAGAAGCUUAGCAGGGCUGAGCCUGGUCCGUAGCUGGAUGGAAAACCACAUGGGAAAACUAAGUUGCUUUUGAAA